GAUGAAGAACGCAGCGAAAUGCGAUACGUAAUGUGAAUUGCAGAAUUCAGUGAAUCAUCGAAUCUUUGAACGCAUAUUGCGCUCUCUGGUAUUCCGGAGAGCAUGCUUGUUUGAGUAUCAGUAAACACCUCAACUUCCAUAUCUUUUUUGAAAUGGGAGUUGGACUUGAGUGAUCCCAACGCUUUUCCUCACCGAAAAGUGGCGGGUUACUUGAAAUGCAGGUGCAGCUGGACUUUUCUCUGAGCUAUAAGCAUAUCUAUUUAGUCUGCCUAAAAAACAGAUUAUUACCUUUGCUGCAGCUAACAUAAAGGAGAUUAGUUCUUGUGCUGACUGAUGCAGGAUUCACAAAGACAGCUUCGGCCGACUUUGUAAACUCGAUCUCAAAUCAAGUAAGACUACCCGCUUAACUUAAGCAUAUCAAUAAGCGGAGGA
RNAcentral lists this unclassified non-coding RNA (432 nucleotides) under soil metagenome. RNAcentral's name for it is "partial contains 5.8S ribosomal RNA, internal transcribed spacer 2, and large subunit ribosomal RNA". The stretch from base 1 to 120 matches the Rfam family "5.8S ribosomal RNA", at positions 35 to 154 of the family's 154-position model. The record is from RNAcentral.